Callithrix jacchus (white-tufted-ear marmoset) is the source of this 8751-nucleotide non-coding RNA. Lineage: Eukaryota; Metazoa; Chordata; Mammalia; Primates; Cebidae. The record is from RefSeq and is a predicted model, not a curated record.
GGAACUCUGUCUGGCCAGUGGGAGAGCUGAGUUUGGCCGCGGACCUCUCCUCUUCCAGCUUUGCUCCUCCCAGCUUAGGAAAAGGCGGAGCGGGCCAAGUACUGUGUUCCCAAAGACUAGAGACUUUGCCGGCUCCUGCUCAGUAGCACAGUUUGCUCUGUCGGCUAGGCUGGAGUGCAGUGGUUGGGUCAUGACCCACUGCAGCUGUUACUGGAAAGAGGUCCUGAUCCAGAUCCCAAGAGAGGGCUCUCGGUUAUCACCCAAGAAAAAAUUUAAGGGUGAGGUUAUUUAGCCAUCUGAAAUCAGACUCCUCAGCAACCUCACCACACUCGGGACUGCGGAGACUGCUCUGUGCUCUCAGGAAACUACUGUCUUAAGUUCUGCAGGCUGUACAGCAAUAAUGAUUCUGGCUUCUACUUCUGCUGAGGGCCUCGGGCUGCUUCCACUCAUGGUAGAAGGAACUGGCAUGUCACAUGGUGGAAUUCCAAGAAUCCACGUGGAGACUCACUGAGGCAAAGGGGCCAACCAUGGGAAAGAGCAGAUGGGGCUCAGGUAGGUCUGCUGUGGCAGCUGUGAUCUGAGGAGGUCUUUCCCAAAAGCACAGCAGACAUCACCUCCACAGGAAGAUGUCAGGGAGGUCUGGGGAGUCUCUCUCGUGGGGCCAACCCCAAAUCUCCACUUGCCUGCAUUUGUGGCUGUGGUGACUGUGCCUGUGGGGCUCAGUGCCAUGGGCUUCACCUCAGGAGGAAUCGCUGCAUCCUCCAUGGCAGCCCAGAUGAUGGAGGGAGUGGAGUUGCUGUGCGCAGUCUGAUGGCUACUCUGCAGUCAGUGGGGGCAGCUGGAUCCUCCGUGACAUCUGGAGUCAUCCUGAGCUCUGCUAGGUCAAUACUUGGAGCCUGGCUGAGUUCCUUUCGCACCCUCAGCUGAACACCACACUGAAGCAGGGAGGUGACUCUCUUGAUGGAGAUGACUCUCCUGGGCCUCUGAAUGACAGUCCUCAAAGGACAAGUCCCCUACUCCCAAAACUAUUCCAAGGAAGCAUGAAAAAUAAAGGCAAGAUGCUGCUGAUCUUCUCCUAGCAUCGGUUCUCUGUUCUUGUGGUCAGGAUAGAGUACAGUGCUGCAGCAGGAGUGCUGGGCAGGGAGGGACUCAAGAGGAAGGAGCAUGGGAUGUCUAUGACCAGAGCCAGUCUGACUCCAGGCUUUCCACUCACUCUGUGGUCCUGAGCAGGUCAUGUCUGCCCUUUGAGCCUCAGUUUGCUGCUCUUCAGUUGGGGGAGCCAGCCUCAGCGUUAUAGGAUGGUGUGGCUCUUGGGUCAUUGCUUGAGCCAUUGACGCUCAAUUAUGAAGCCCUUUGUCCCCAUGCCUGACUGAUCCCUUCCUUUUCCACCCAGGACUUAGGAUGUGGCUGUAUAAUUACUCUAGAAGUUCAGCAACACUGCAUUUGCCUGGCCGAUGGGCCUUCUUUAUACAGGUAGAGAGGUUUCAUUCCUCCAGGGAGCUCUUUCCCUCUCAGCACAGAGCCCAGGCUCCUUGGCCCCCAGAUGGAUUGAGCACAGCCUGUGAGGAUGGGCAAGGGGCUGGGACUUCUAAGAAGUAGGCCAAUGCAGAACACCCAUUUCCAGAGACCUACUGUGUGCCUGGCAUCUUAUUUGGGACCUCCUGUGUGCCUGGCCCCAGAUCAGGUGCCAGGUGUCCUAUGCACACUGUGCACACUGACCUGUCAUCUGCCACCCGGCACCUGCCUGGCCGUUAGGAUAAGCCACACUUGACUUCUGGAAAGCCUGUUAAGACUUGGCCUCUGAUCUCCACCUCAGUCCCACUCUGGGCUGUUUGACCUUCACACUUAUUAUUCCUUUACAGCUGUAUUCCCAUGGGCUCUCCCCGGGAUGCUGACUGAACUGACUCCCACAGCUCCCAACUGGCCUCAAGGGCUCCAUCCCACAUGAUCCCCCUAGCUGCAGAGGAUCACAGAGAUCCAUCUCUGCCCCGGGUAUACAAUGUUGGGGAAGCCAGCCCUUAAUCAAUGAUGUUAAGGGACUUGGGGUAAAUGACAGAAAUGAUCACGUUCUCCUUCCUUUCAGCAUGGCUGUAUAGCUCCUCCCAUCAAGAAGCAGAACUUUCUUUCCCCUCCCUUUGCAUCUCUUCUGGCCCAGGGAGUUGCUCUGGAGGAUAGAACGUGGUGGAAGUGAUGGCAUGCUAAUCAUGAGCCUGGUCCCUAAGAAACCCUGCAGCCUUCUGCUGCACCUCCUGGACCCCAUCACUGCCGUGAGAACAAGUCAGGCUGGACAAGCACACAAGGCCCAUUCAUUCCAGACAAGGCCCCAGACAUGGAAACAAGCCCAGACAAGAUCUGCAAAAGCCGACCUGCAGCUGCCUGCAGAUGGGUGAGGGACCCAGCUGAGACCAGAAGAACCACCUGCCUAGAUUGCUGACCCACAGAAUCAUGAGCUACAUAACUCUUUUAAGCCACUAAAUUGUAUGGUCACUUUUUAUCCAGCCACAGGUAAGACAACAUAAGACAACGUGUACAGUCACUGAAGAGGAUCAGGCUAUAUGGCUCAUAGGACAGAGAAGGCAGAGAUUGAUUCUAAUUGUAACUACGUGAAAAGACUGCCUGGAGUAAGUGCUGUUUUACUUAAGGAUUAUGUAGUUGUAAGUACUAGAAACUUGACAGCACCUUGCUCAGAGUUCAAUGAUUUUAGUAAAUCAUUGAUUUACUAAAUGAAAAAGUCCAAAGGUAAAGUAUGCUUCAGGCAAGGUUUGAUUCAGCAGCACAACGUGGUUGUCAAAGACCUGUCUUCUGUUCUUCAUUUCUGAGGCAUCAGCUACAUCCGGUGGCUGCCAGCUCUCACGGUUACAAGACAGCUGUUAGCAGGCUCUGGAAGCUACCUUCUUUAUUCAUGUCUCCCAGAAAGAAUAUUUUUUCAUGCACUUUCUCCUGAAAAGCAAAGAAACGUCUUUCCCAAAUGCCUCUAGUAAAUGUUAAUGCUGCUAUCUUAAAUGAAGUCAUUUACUCAUUCCUAACAUCCAUUAGUUCGGCCUGCAGGAUGGGUGGGAUGAGAUGAUUUGUUUAAGUGUACCUGGGCUCACCUUUAGAAAGUUCGAGGAGAGCCCAUGCCUCUGAUACACUCACAGUCAGGGCAGGAGCUCCUAUACCUGAGAGAGGUUUCUGCUUCAAAGAAGAGAGGGGGUUAAGGGGCAUUGAGUCUGUAAAGGACAGCAUGGGGGAUGUUCUGAGGGAAGACCGGGCCUCGUGGACCCUUGGGGGAAACUAAAGCAGGCUCCCCACCAGGUUCACUGCUUCUCUGUCUGUCUUGUUAUCUUCUCACCCCUCCAGCUGCUAAGGAAGGCAAGUGGACAGUAGGUUACUGUCUUUUUAGCUUUAACUUUACAGCAUGGGAUUAUAUUAUUUUCUAAUGAAAAUUCGCAUUUUAUUGCAUUUAAAUUACUUAAGAAAUCUUGAAGUACCUUCUACUCUUGGAGUCCUAAAUUCCUACAGGUAAGGCUGAAGCCCCUUUAUCUCUGAUGAGCGUCCUUGCCCCUCAUUCUACCCCAGUCCCACUCUCAGCAGUAAAGAGCUGCUGCGAUUUCAUACGUUUCUUUCCAUGGACCCCCCUCCCUUUUAUAUUGUGAUAAAAACUCAUAGAAUUUACCAUCCUGACCAUGUUUUUUUGAGAUGGAGUGUCACCCUGUCACCAGACUGGAAUGCAGUGGUGCAGUCUCAGUUCUCUGCAACCUCUGCCUCCUGGGUUCAAGCGAUUCUCCUGCCUUGGCCUCUUGAGUAGCUGGGAUUAUAGGUGUCAGCCACCAUGCCUGGCUAAUUUUUUUGGAUCUUUGGUAGAGACGGGGUUUCACCAUGUUGGUCAGGCUGUUCUCCAACUCUUGACCUCAGGUGAUCCACCCGCCUCAGCCUCCCAAAGUGCUGGGAUUACAGGCGUGAGCCACCUUGCCCGGCCACCAUUUUUUAAGUACAGUUCAGCAGUGUUAGAUACAUAUUCACGUUGUUGUGAUACAUCUCCAGAAUUUUUUCAUCUUGUGAAAAUGAAUCUCUGUCCUCAUUAAACAGAUCUGCUCUGUCCCCUCCCCCUGCCCUGGGAAUUCUGCCUUCUGUCUUUAUGAAUUUGACCACUCUAGGUACUGCUGAUUGGUGGAAUUAUAUAGUAUUUGUCGUGUGUGUGUGUGUGUGUGUGUGUGUGUGUGUGUAGAGAUGGGGUGUUGCUUUGCUAGCGUUUCCUCAUCUGUAACAUGGGUGGGGGUGUCCUACCUUUUUCACAUUAGUGAGGAGAUUACAGAAGAACACUUACCUUACCUGCCAUAUACGCCUUAAAAUGUGAUUGGUUCUGAUUUCCUAAUUUUAGUGUCUUUUCAGCUGCUCCAUGGAGAUAUAAGGAAGUCCCAGAACUGUCUAAGAAGUUGGCACUGGGGCUUUCAGGAGGAAGAAAGCAAUACCCCCCUGCUACCCCAGGGGAAAUAACAUCCCUCAUGGCCCUGGGCUAACACAUGUCCUUUGGUAGCCCCAACUCCCCAACAUCCCUCCUUCCCUCACCCCAGGUUCCUUUCCAGGCCUGCUGUCCCCACAGCUUACAGCAGCCUCCCUAGCCCCCUGGAGCUCCUCAUGUCUUUCAGGAUAGUGGGAGGCAAGCCAGGUUGUGUGCCCAUCCCGUCCUCAGAGCUCCAUCCCUUUGGCUGAAGUUGAGGAACUCUUACUCUCUAGGCCAUGGAAUUCACCCGAGCAGUGACUGGUGUGGCCAGGGUGGCCUCUGGCUGUGCUGCAGCUUUGCCUGUGGGUGAGUGUUCCUGGGAGGGGCUGCUGCUGGGGGUGAGGAGGCGACUGUGGCAGGUGUUGGUCCCGUCCAGGGAACCGUGGGAGAGAAAAUGGGGGGAACACCUGCAGCCUUGCUGCCCUGCACUGUCCUCCCACAGCAGGUGUCCGCCCUGGCUUUUCAUCUGGGAAGAGGGCAGGGGCAGGCUUAGCCCUGGGUGUCCCGCAGGUCUCCCCACCUCUCGGCCCAGACUUCCUCCUGCCUAGCCCAAAACUGUCUGUCUAUCACUGAGUCCCACUCUCUUCAGCUCUUCCUUCCCCCAAAUUCACCAUCAGAAUUAAUCUCCUUUGGGAGUUUCCCUUGUCAACAGGGCCCCUGCACCCUAUGAGAUCUCAAUCCAGAGUACUGAUUUUAACAAAAUUUCUUCAGCCCACAUUUUUCACUGGUUUCUGUGAGAUCUCUUUCUGGUUUUAUUUAUUCUUUCUCAUUUGUCUUCCUUUUCAUCCUUGAUUCCCCUCCCUCAAAGUCAGCCUUUCUGAUAGAUUUACUGUGUGUCUGUUUUCAUAUGUGUUUUUGCAGAAAGGGUAUUGCGUUUUGUUUGCAUGCGUUGUAAUUGACAUGCAGGAGAGUGUGUGAUAGAUCCCAUUCUGUCGCUGUUUCCCACACUGAACCAUAUUCUUGAGAUCCAUCAAUGUUAUUCAGUAAGCAUCUAAUGCUGGCUUCUACCUGCUGGCAAGUGCUUCUCUGCAUGUAUCCGCUGCCCCUUACCUUUCUGUCUCCUGGGUGGACAUCCAGGGAUUCUCCCAACUCCACCAGCACAAAUGGCAUAGGCUUGAAUGACCCCUACCCUGACUUCUGACCCUGCCCCAGCCUCUACCCUCUAUUUGAGCCCUGUGCACUCACCCUUUGCUGACCCUGUCAUCCUCGGCUGCCCUGACCCCCAACACACCUAUCCUCAGACGCUUGGGGGCACUGGAGGUUAGCUCCUUCAUGCUGGGGUCCCUCAUAGGCACCCUGUUUUGCAACUUGGAGGUAACUGGCCCUUGGCAACACACACCACUCUGUGUACCCCCAACUCAGUGCAGAGAAGUGUCAUGAGCAAGUGAGGACCUGGGCCACACCCAACAGUCCUUUCUGUUUGUCAGAUAUGCAGAUGACUUCUCAGUUUAAGAUCAGGCAAUUAGUAAAAUUAAAAAAAUAACAGCUCAAUUUGAGCCAGUGCUUUUAUGUCCUAGUCAUGAAGUCUAGCACUUGUUUGUCCAUUUGUUUAAUUCUUGUAACAACCCCAGAAGAAGAUAAGAAGAUAAUACUAUCUCUUAUUUACCAACAGGGACAAUUUACUGUUGUCCAAGUGCUCUGUGCAGGACAGGAGGGCGUGGGGGUGCUGCUUCCAGGCUUGGAACAGGCGGUAGAACAAUGAACAACGACAAGAAGUAUUAAUAUGCCUGGCACAGUGCCUCACACCUGCAAGCCAAGUCGGUGGAGGGGGGGGAAUCACUUGAGGUCAGGAGUUUGAGACCAGCCUGGCCUAUUGGCCAGGUGACACCUGGUGACACCCUGUCCUACCAAAAUGCAAAAUUAGCCAGGCAUGGUGGUGCAUGCCUGUAAUCCCAGGUACUUGGGAGGCUGAGGCAGGAGAAUCACUUGAAUCCAGGAGGCAGAGGUUGCAGAGAGCCAAGAUUAUGCUACUGCACUCCAGCCUGGGUGACAGAGCAAGACUCUAUCUCCAAAAAAAAAAAAAAAAAAGUAUUAAUAGAAGUGGGGGAAGGUUGCAGGGAGGGCUCAGGGCAGAGAAGGUUCUGAAGGGUGCACAGGGCAGAGGACAGGCUCCUUUGCCCUAUCAAUGCCCAUCAGCUGAGCCUAACAGGCAGGCCCCCAGACACACAGCAGCCAGUUCCUGAGGGCUUUUGUGUGUCAGGGCCCAGGUUUACCAGGCUGCCAGGCAACUUAGUGUCACCUCUCCUGCCUGCCAGUAAAACUGACCCUUCUAACAUGGUUAUUGAUUCCUGAAUCCUGGGGCUUAUAAGCCCUCCAGGUGGCCUUCCUGGUCACUCAGGGUUUGGCCUUCACACCUGUGUCAAUUUACUUCCUCCACCAUCACUCUAAGGCCUCUCCCUGGGAGCUGGCUGAGCUCAUUCCUGCACAUCUGGCUAUCUAGAACUCCUGGUUCCAAACUGCAGUUUUGGCCCCUCUGGCUGCUGGGGAGUGGAACCUCUGCCUACUUCCCAGGGGCUCACCAUGUCGGGGAGCAAACCAUGCAUACCCAGUGCUGUGAGUGGCUCCAGUCAUGGAGGAGCAAGGAUGAGUUCUGAUUGGAAGAAUCUGGGAAGGCUUCCUGGAGGAGGGAGCAAUAGCAUGGGCCUUGAAGAAUCAGAAGCUUUCAAGUCAUUCAAUUCAAGCAUUGCUCUCAAGUGGCAUUCAAGCAUUCCACAGUGCUUGCCCUGACUUCAGCCACACAGUGCAAAAUGAAGCACAUCUUUCUUUACCAUGAGGACUUAUUACUAUCUGAAGAGUUUUUCUGGACUAUAGGAGAAAGUCAUGGUAUCCCUCACUAAUAAACACUGACCCUGCUUCAGAUGAACUAACAGCCCUGCUCAGAAAGCACGACACCCAUCCUCUUCACUUCUCCCUGUCCCGGCCAAACCACCAAGCCCUAUAUUCCAUUGCCAAGUAUCCUGUUACCGGGAACGGACGUCACAGUAACAUGUCUUCCUAGCCACAUCUAGAAGGUUUUGUUCAUUUUUGUUCUGCCUUUUAUUUGAACUAAACCUGGCUUGGGAGGAAGAAAAGAAAACUUCUGAUUUCCCCCAAUCAACCAACCAACCAACUAGGUCAGGGCCACGUAAAUUAAUCAGGACAAGCACUGGAGUCAAACCCCCCAGUGACCUUCGCCUUCUCCAGAAAUUCCACUUCCCAAAAUGAAACAGCGGUAGAGGGGGUCAUCCCUUCUUCUGGCUCCCAACCUGGGAGUCAGCUGGCUCAGACAGUGGAGGGGAGGCCAGCGUGGAUCCACUCACAGACUGUUCUUUUGGUUUCCAGACAGGGUUGCUACAGUUGUGAUUGGAGCCACGGUGGUGCAGGCUGUGCCUGUGGUGCUCAGUGCCAGGGGCUUCACUGGGGCGGGAAUGGCCAAGAACUCCCUAGCAGCCAAGAUGAUGUCUGCAGUGGCCAUCGACGACGGGGCAGAGUUGCCUCAGGCAGCCUGGUGGCUACGCUGCAGUCACUGGGUAAGCAUCCUGGCAGGGCUUGCUGGUGAGGGCGAUGAGGAGGGCAAGAGCCUCCCAGGCCCAGUCCUGAGUCAACCCCAUGGGCCGCAAUCUCUCUGUUCCUCUGUCUCUCUCUACCAUUCUCUCAGGAUUUCUCUGGUGAGCUAACAGCCCUGCGGGAGAUGGGGACGGAGGGAAAGAGCCCUGGCCAGGAACAGCGGGCUCAGGACCACUCAUCCUGAAGCAGACUUGCUGGGUUACCUGGGUGUCUCCUCCCCUCUGGGGUGCAGCCUCCUUCCCUGAAGAGCGAGGCUGCUUCCAGCUCUGGAAUUUACCACAAGCGUUCAUGCCUGCAGCAGCCUUGCCCAGAACAACCCCCCGAGGAUGCUGGGAAACACGAGGGGAACUGGGUGGGGUUUCUGGGCCUCAGGCCCUCCUGAGGGUCACUGGAGUCUCUUCCCCCACAGUCCUGUCCCAUAGAGCUUCCGUGACAGGCAUGCCCCACUGUGUUUACCCUCUCCUUCCCAGGAGCAACUGGGCUCUCCAGGUUGACCAGCUAAUCCUGGGCUCCACUGGGUCUGCCGUGGCGGCUGGCUUUGUGGACUUCUUCUAGCUCCCUGCCCUCGCCCUGCAGCGAAGAGAACCGUGCCAGGAGAGAAGGUGCCCAGCCAUCCUGACCCAGUGAGGAGCCAACUAUAGCAAAUACACCUGGGGUGAAAUAUACCAAAUUCUGCACCCCCAGAGGAAAAUAAGAAAAAAAGAUGGAUUGUUGCAAGCCUU